This 480-nucleotide ribosomal RNA is filed under the name uncultured bacterium. RNAcentral describes it as "bacterial SSU rRNA". It matches the Rfam family "Bacterial small subunit ribosomal RNA", at positions 442 to 916 of the family's 1533-position model. The record is from RNAcentral.
GGGAAGAAACGGCCCUGGCUAUACCUGAAGCCCCUGACGGUACCUGCCCAAUAACCACCGGCUAACUACGUGCCAGCAGCCGCGGUAAUACGUAGGGUGCAAGCGUUAAUCGGAAUUACUGGGCGUAAAGCGUGCGCAGGCGGUUUGGCAAGAAGGAUGUGAAAUCCCAGGGCUUAACCUUGGAACUGCAUUCUUAACUGCCAAGCUAGAGUUUGUCAGAGGGGGGUAGAAUUCCACGUGUAGCAGUGAAAUGCGUAAAGAUGUGGAGGAAUACCGAUGGCGAAGGCAGCCCCCUGGGAUAAUACUGACGCUCAUGCACGAAAGCGUGGGGAGCAAACAGGAUUAAAUACCCUGGUAGUCCACGCCCUAAACGAUGUCAACUAGCUGUUGGGGCCUUCGGGCCUUAGUAGCGCAGCUAACGCGUGAAGUUGACCGCCUGGGGAGUACGGUCGCAAGAUUAAAACUCAAAUGAAUUGACGG